This is a non-coding RNA of Chelonoidis abingdonii (Abingdon island giant tortoise), 4702 nucleotides long. The record is from RefSeq and is a predicted model, not a curated record. NCBI's taxonomy places the organism in Eukaryota, Metazoa, Chordata, Testudines, Testudinidae.
UCAGCUGAGUGGGCUGGCCUGUGUGGGUGGGAUUUCCUGUGCUGGAGGUCAGCUGUUCUCAAUCCCUCUUUCUCACUCCCUUUCUCUCUGUCUCGUCCCUUCUUUCCCCCUCUCCCUGCCUUGACGGGUCCUCGCAUCUUUCUCUCUCUCCCUCCCUCCCCUCCCUCCCUGGUGCCUCUUGGGUUGGAAUACAUAGUGAUGUGUUAACUACAGGAUGCCCAGCAGCACUGGAAAGAGGUUUAAACCUACUAAAUACAUCCCUGUCUCCACAGCAGCUGCCUUAUUAGUGGGUUCGACUACUUUAUUUUUUGUUUUCACGUGCCCCUGGUUAACAAGAGCCAUCUCCCCAGCCAUCCCUGUGUACAAUGGGCUCGUGUUCUUGUUCGUACUUGCAAACUUCAGCAUGGCGACGUUCAUGGACCCUGGAGUUUUUCCACGAGCAGAUGAAGAUGAGGAUAAAGAUGAUGACUUCCGAGCUCCACUCUACAAGAAUGUGGAGAUUAAAGGAAUCCAAGUACGGAUGAAAUGGUGUGCCACCUGCCAUUUCUAUCGCCCGCCCCGCUGCUCCCAUUGCAGCGUCUGUGACAACUGCGUUGAGGACUUUGACCAUCACUGCCCAUGGGUCAACAAUUGCAUAGGACGGAGGAACUACCGAUAUUUUUUCCUCUUCUUGCUGUCCUUAAGCACACACAUGGUCGGAGUGUUCAGUUUUGGGCUGAUCUAUAUUUUAAACCAUAUGGAAAAGCUGGGGGCAGCUCACACCACCAUUACCAUGGCUGUCAUGUGUGUGACUGGAUUGUUCUUUAUCCCAGUCAUUGGUCUCACGGGUUUCCAUAUUGUUCUAGUGGCACGAGGGCGUACAACCAAUGAGCAGGUGACGGGUAAGUUCCGUGGGGGGGUGAAUCCUUUCACUCGAGGAUGCUGCCAUAACGUGGAACAUGUGCUCUGCAGCCCUUUGGCUCCCAGAUACAUUGUUGAGCCAAAGAAAAAGCAGGCUGUGAGUGUGAAGCCUCCUUUCUUCAGACCAGAUCUAUCCGAGCGACAGAUCACAGUGAAGAUAAGUGACAAUGGGAUCCAAGCCAAUCUUAACCGAAGCAAGUCUAAAGUUAGCCUGGAAGGUCUGGAGGAUAAAACCAUGGACAUCCAGCCACCUCUGCCUCCCAAAGGAGAUCCAAGCAAGUACUCUGAACUGAAGGGGCAGCUGGGAACCAGUGAAGAGAGUGGUCUUUCACCUAAAUUGAUAAGUCCCCCAACUCCUGCCAUGUAUAAGUAUCGACCAGCUUUCAGCAACAAUUCCAAAGUCCACUACCAUGCUGCAGCUGAGCAGAUCACCAUGCAGGAGGGACACAAGCAAGGAGUUUUGAUUGAAGAUAAUAACCAGAGUCUUGAUUAUCAAUCGGAGCCCAACCUGGACAUCUCGAACUACAGGAAGAGCUCGCUUCACAAGACUUAUCAGUCCUCCCCACUCCAGAUAGACUCCUUCGCCGUCAAUUCGCGAUCCCUGAGCUUGAAGUCUGCCAACAGGAGAGGGACAGACAAAGUGCCACUGCAUCCAAUAAAAUCAGAAGGGGCUGCUUCCACCCCCUACAAAAGCAUCUUUUCCCCCAACUCCCUGUCAAACAGAAAUGGAAGUCUGUCUUAUGACAGUUUGCUAAACUCCAUGUCCCCCUCCGGGAGGAAAUGCAUAGCCCAUUCUGCUGUUGGCUCCGUGGGGUACCAUUCGCCAUAUUUGUCAGCCAAAAUGUGCCACCUGCGGGGGAGCGAGCUGCAGCGCCAGGCUCCACAGAAUUUCAGCCCGGUGCUGGGGGGGCAAGAGUCGCACCAGCGGGACCCCUCUCCUGUCCGUUAUGACAACCUUUCAAAAACCAUCAUGGCAUCCAUCCAGGAGAGGAAAGAAAUGGAAGAGAGGGAGAAGCUCCUCCUCUCACACCCGGAUUCGGUGUUUGCAGACUCGGGUGUGUAUGACACCCCUAGCUCUUACAGCCUUCAACAAGUCAGCGCGCUGUCUGAAGACCCUCGCAGCAUGGUGAUGAGAUAUGGCUCCAGAGACAAUUUGAUGACUGCGACCAGUUUUAGCACAAGGAACCCUAUACUGCAGUCCUCGGUGUCUUCCCUCUCAAGUGCAAUGGCCAGGGCACCAAGGACUUCCACAACUUCCCUUCAAGCCGAUCUAGCCAAUAACAAUGUCCAGUCCCAUCAGGCACUACAAGGCAGGGUGAGCAAUGGCUCCUACAAGUCACCAGGCCAUCAGGUCCCAUCAUCCCCUACAGGGAUGCCUAGGUCACCCUCUUAUGGAGGUCCGAAGGCUGUCUCAUUUGUUAACACUGUGGAAAUAACGGAGGUGCAAUCUGUGGGAGCACAAAGGGAGGACAUGCAGUUGAAGACACCUCACAGUAAAAUAAAUGGACAGCCAAAAGGAAUUUCCAGGGCAGAUUGUCGACUGGGUUCAACGUCAAGUUCCCAGGGGGCCCCGGUCAGUCCUGCUAGACACUCAAACGUUAAGAAGGUGUCUGGUGUUGGUGGAACAACCUAUGAAAUUUCAGUGUAAAAUAAAAAUUAAGAUAAAGAGCCAUCCAUUAAGGCAGCCAUGAAGCUAGGUGCACUGUGAAGACUCAAACAACAUCAACCACAAAAGGAGCAGCAGCUGCCAGUGUCCUUUUUGGGUUUUUUUUCUGUUCGUUUGUUUUCAUCUUUCUCGUUUGGCCAAAAAAGAGCUGCAGCCUUAUUCUUGUGGGAAUAAAAUUGUACAGUCCAUCAGAAACUGUCUCGAGCUGACUGCGGAAACUGGCUACCACCUAGCACCACAACCAUAGAGAUUAUUUCUUUCAUGAAAGAGAGUGAAAAAGCCAUUGUGUAUUUGUCUGUCAAACAAAACUGUCAUGUAGAAGUUGUGCUAUGAUGAAGAAUUAAUCUGGGGUCAUGUUUUUCCUCACUACAAGUUUUCUGGCCAGCAAAAUCUCGGGACAAGCCACUGGCCUGACUCUUAUUUUCUUAUAGACAUGGAGACCAGACUCCUUGUUUGCAGUCUGUGUGUAUGAGAGGUACCAUUUGUCCCCCAAAGCAUUGUUGGAUGUUAUUCCUCCUGCUUUAAAGGAACCAGGCAGGGUGCAGUGGCCCUCAAGCAUCAUGUAGUGUUUUAAAGUCUCUUUCUUUCUACUCCCUCCCACCCUCACCCCUGGCUCUAGGUGGAGGGGAGAAAGAAUAGCAGCAGCUUCUCACUGUCCAUGAUUCGCCUCCCUGUGUGUGAAAAUGUGUGUGUGUGUGCAUUUAUGUCUUAUGGAAUCGGACUGCCACAUAAAAAGCAGGAUACAGGACCUGAUGAUCUUGCUGUGGUAAAUCCUUUGUUCCAGUUCUGUUCUAUGCAUGUCUCCAUAUCCCUAAGUGUGUGCAAUAUGGCUGUCUUGUCAGUAUAUGAUGUCUGUUAGCAUACUUCCUGGACCUGGAUCUACAAAGAGGGGAAACAUGCUUGGUGCUGAAAGGAAUAAAGCAGGGUGAGUGUGGAAGGGUGGGUUGCAUUUCCUAAAAGAGGAUAAGAGGAUAGAAAAAUUGAAGUAAUUCCUCAAACAAAACAGUCUUGGAAAAGCUGGCUCAGGUACAGCAGCAAGACACCUUGUUUCUCAUUGACCUUGGCAGAAUUUCAUUAGCCCUUUAAUGUGAGCAAACUGACCUCAAAUGAUUUCUUCGUCAGUAGACACACAGCCAUGUACGCAGCUAUGGCUUAAGCAUAUUUUUGGACAUUAGAUCUUGUUUCAGAGUGAGAUAAGUGAGUCUUUGUAUAAAUGAUUCAUCCUUUCUGGUGAUUGUGAGUAAGAACUUACAUUAUCCAUGUUAUCUUUCCCCUACACUUUCUUUCCCUCAUACUAUCUCAUACCAUGUAGCUAUCCUGUUACAUUUUGUUCACAUUCAUUCUUUUUUGUGGAUGCUUCAGAAACUUGUACCAUAAAACUGGGGUUCUCUAUUGCUCUUCAACAGUAACUGUGUGUGGGAAUUAAAGAGCAUUAACACUAGCUGUCCUCCAUUUAUUAAAUCUAGUGUGUAGAUCCACUCCCGGAAUAUCUGGCCUCAGCAGCAAUAGCAGACAUGGAAACACUGGCUGUCUGGUCAACAUGAAAAUGAUCAGCAUCUGCAGAUAUUCCAGCUAUCCAUUCCUCAUUAAUCAAAGUUGCUCAGGACUUCUUGUGCACAACCUUUUAAGUGGAGAAACCCAGUUUGUGGUCCAGUGCUAUAGCAGAAGAGUAUGUUAUGAUUUAUGGGCCAGAUUCUGUUUCCAAUGGGCCUUCCAAUAGUCAAACAAAAUCUGAAGACUCCUCAUGGGAGAAGAGAAGUACUGCCAACACAAAAGUUCAAAAUUGCUGUACUGUUCUUUCUUUUUCUCUGCAUUCUUCUCUUGAGCCUUCAAGGCACAUCUGGUUCAUAUUUUCAAGCUUUUCUUCACAACCAUAAGGACUUAUUGUUUUAAAAUGAAAGCAGUGAUUCUCACAUGAUCAUGACUCCAGGAGCUGGAGUUUUAAGCAAAACAUCAAAUCUUCUGACACCUGCCAUAAAAUCCUGAGAGUUGGCAACACUAUAAUGUGAUUUCCUAAAAAACAACUUAGGAAAGUCCCAUUUGUAUAGUGGCUGUUCACAGAGCCUGACUCACCACAGCAUUAGGCCAGUGUGACUCUAUUGAUUUACACUGGUGUAAAACUGAGGUAACAUCGUG